RNAcentral lists this ribosomal RNA (460 nucleotides) under uncultured bacterium. RNAcentral describes it as "partial 16S ribosomal RNA". It matches the Rfam family "Bacterial small subunit ribosomal RNA", at positions 338 to 795 of the family's 1533-position model. The record is from RNAcentral.
CCUACGGGAGGCAGCAGUGAGGAAUAUUGGUCAAUGGGCGAGAGCCUGACCGAGCAAAGUAGCGUGAAGGAUGAAAGGCCUACGGGUUGUAAAGUUUUUUUGACAAGGAAUAAAGAGAAGCGCGUAUGCCUUUUUGUAUGUCCUUUAUGGAUAAGGAUCGUCUAACUCCGUGCCAGCAGCCGCGGUAAUACGGAGGAUCCGAGCGUUCUCCGGAUUUAUUGGGUUUAAAGGGAGCGUAGAUGGGUUGUUAAGUCAGUUGUGAAAGCUUGCGGCUCAACCGUAAAAUUGCAAUUGAUACUGGCUGCCUUGAGUACAGUUGAGGUAGGCGGAAUUCGUGGUGUAGCGGUGAAAUGCUUAGAUAUCACGAAGAACUCCGAUUGCGAAGGCAGCUUACUAAACUGCCAUUGACAUUGAUGCUCGAAAGUGUGGGUAUCAAACAGGAUUAGAUACCCUAGUAGUC